GGUACUGCUACCAGAAGUAGAAAUGGCCCUAGGACCCUACAACCUUCACCCCACUCUGUCUUCCCUUGAAAUAAGCCUGCCACUACAGAAGGGGAGCAGAGCCCAGAGACCUAGAGCUGAAGGGGCAUUUCUAAUCACCGACCUGCCCGGAAGUCUUUCCAAGAGCCCCAAAGUCCAGGAAUCCCCACCAAAGGAUUCAGAAACAGCGCCCACAAUCCAGGGCCCCUCUGAACGGAAUAAUUACCCUGAAGGACUGCUGAAAUACUGAAUGAAAUCGUGAAUGCAGACCAGCCAGCAUGAUGCCUCCUUUUUCCUCCCUAGGGUCCCCUGCCCUCUCACCUUGACCCAAAGGUCCAGGUGCACUUUGUACUGCU
Camelus dromedarius (Arabian camel) is the source of this 374-nucleotide long non-coding RNA. RefSeq lists it as uncharacterized. The transcript has 3 exons. NCBI's taxonomy places the organism in Eukaryota, Metazoa, Chordata, Mammalia, Artiodactyla, Camelidae. The record is from RefSeq and is a predicted model, not a curated record.